AAGGGGAUUGAUUUAGCAGACUGCCUGAGGGAUAUAUAAUUAAGUUACGACAUAGGAGCAUGACUUUUCAGGUGUCUUCAGUUAGAGUUAGGUCCUUGUAUCCACUCUGUCAAAGGUCACAAAACUAUUUGAACCAGUUUUCCUUCUUCUAACCCUUCACCCCCAAUUGUCUACGAUCUCACUUGCUCAAUCUAAAGGAAGCUCCCCCUCCCUCUUCUGUCUAGAAGUUGAUGGGAUAAUGGUUUAGUUGCUAAUUUUUUUCCCCUUAAAAAUUAUUUGAGCUCGAGUGGUGGCACAAGCCUCUGGAGGCAGAUAGAUAGAUAGAUCCCUGAGUUCAGGGCAGACCUGGUCUACAGAGUGAGUUCCAAGACGCCUAGGGCUAUUAUACAGAGAAACCCUGUCUCAAAAACAAAACUUGUUUUAUUUUCAAACAGGUGUUAUGUAGCUUGGGAUGUACUUGAGACCUUUCUAUGUAAGCGAGGGUGAUCUUGGUUUUGUUUUUUUGUUUUUUGUUUUUUUUAAGACAGGGUUUCUCUAUAUAGCCCUGGCUGUCCUAGAAUUCACUUUGUAGACCAGGCUGGCCUCAAACUCAGAAAUCCGCCUGCCUCUGCCUCCCAAGUGCUGGGAUUAAAGGCAUGCGCCACCACUGCCCGGUGUAACCCCUCUUUUUUUUUUUUCUUUUUUUUCUUUUUUGUUUUUUUUUCCAAAGAUUUAUUUAUUAGAAUAAGUUCACUGUAGCUGUCUUCAAAUGCACCAGAAGAGGGUAUCAGAUCUCAUUAUGGGUGGUUGUGAGCCACCAUGUGGUUGCUGGGAUUUGAACUCAGUACCUUUGGAAGAGCAGUCGGUGCUCUUACCCACUGAACCAUCUCACCAGCCCCAUAACCCCUCUUUUUAAUUUCAUUUUUUCCACCUUGAUGAUAGAAGAUUCCUGUUCUGAGAAUACCAUUGUGAUAGGGAAGGGACUAUUAUUGAGUGGGAGAGGGGCAGAGAGCCUCUCAUAGGUAUGAGGCCCUGGAUUCUAUCCCAAGCACUGCCCCC
This 1038-nucleotide long non-coding RNA is filed under the name Mus musculus (house mouse). RNAcentral describes it as "long non-coding RNA chr8:105655315-105656353". The record is from RNAcentral. Lineage: Eukaryota; Metazoa; Chordata; Mammalia; Rodentia; Muridae.